UCAGGACGAACGCUGGCGGCGUGCUUAACACAUGCAAGUCGAACGAUGAACCACUUCGGUGGGGAUUAGUGGCGAACGGGUGAGUAACACGUGGGCAAUCUGCCCUUCACUCUGGGACAAGCCCUGGAAACGGGGUCUAAUACCGGAUAACACUUCUGCUCUCAUGGGCAGGGGUUAAAAGCUCCGGCGGUGAAGGAUGAGCCCGCGGCCUAUCAGCUUGUUGGUGAGGUAAUGGCUCACCAAGGCGACGACGGGUAGCCGGCCUGAGAGGGCGACCGGCCACACUGGGACUGAGACACGGCCCAGACUCCUACGGGAGGCAGCAGUGGGGAAUAUUGCACAAUGGGCGAAAGCCUGAUGCAGCGACGCCGCGUGAGGGAUGACGGCCUUCGGGUUGUAAACCUCUUUCAGCAGGGAAGAAGCGAAAGUGACGGUACCUGCAGAAGAAGCGCCGGCUAACUACGUGCCAGCAGCCGCGGUAAUACGUAGGGCGCAAGCGUUGUCCGGAAUUAUUGGGCGUAAAGAGCUCGUAGGCGGCUUGUCACGUCGGGUGUGAAAGCCCGGGGCUUAACCCCGGGUCUGCAUUCGAUACGGGCUAGCUAGAGUGUGG
RNAcentral lists this ribosomal RNA (610 nucleotides) under Streptomyces sp. RMN-Slr-36. RNAcentral describes it as "bacterial SSU rRNA". It matches the Rfam family "Bacterial small subunit ribosomal RNA", at positions 24 to 651 of the family's 1533-position model. The record is from RNAcentral. Lineage: Bacteria; Bacillati; Actinomycetota; Actinomycetes; Kitasatosporales; Streptomycetaceae.